Maricaulis maris MCS10 is the source of this 74-nucleotide transfer RNA. It matches the Rfam family "tRNA". Rfam says of the family: Transfer RNA (tRNA) molecules are approximately 80 nucleotides in length. Their secondary structure includes four short double-helical elements and three loops (D, anti-codon, and T loops). The record is from Rfam. Lineage: Bacteria; Pseudomonadati; Pseudomonadota; Alphaproteobacteria; Maricaulales; Maricaulaceae.
GGGCCUGUAGCUCAAUUGGUUAGAGCCGGCGGCUCAUAACCGCUUGGUUGGGGGUUCGAGUCCCUCCGGGCCCA